RNAcentral lists this ribosomal RNA (459 nucleotides) under Salmonella enterica subsp. enterica serovar Oranienburg. RNAcentral describes it as "bacterial SSU rRNA". It matches the Rfam family "Bacterial small subunit ribosomal RNA", at positions 1 to 456 of the family's 1533-position model. Lineage: Bacteria; Pseudomonadati; Pseudomonadota; Gammaproteobacteria; Enterobacterales; Enterobacteriaceae. The record is from RNAcentral.
UUAAAUUGAAGAGUUUGAUCAUGGCUCAGAUUGAACGCUGGCGGCAGGCCUAACACAUGCAAGUCGAACGGUAGCACAGAGAGCUUGCUCUCGGGUGACGAGUGGCGGACGGGUGAGUAAUGUCUGGGAAACUGCCUGAUGGAGGGGGAUAACUACUGGAAACGGUGGCUAAUACCGCAUAACGUCGCAAGACCAAAGAGGGGGACCUUCGGGCCUCUUGCCAUCAGAUGUGCCCAGAUGGGAUUAGCUUGUUGGUGAGGUAACGGCUCACCAAGGCGACGAUCCCUAGCUGGUCUGAGAGGAUGACCAGCCACACUGGAACUGAGACACGGUCCAGACUCCUACGGGAGGCAGCAGUGGGGAAUAUUGCACAAUGGGCGCAAGCCUGAUGCAGCCAUGCCGCGUGUAUGAAGAAGGCCUUCGGGUUGUAAAGUACUUUCAGCGGGGAGGAAGGUGUUG